GAGAAGAAUUAUGAAAUACAGAAACUGCUA
This 30-nucleotide transfer RNA is filed under the name Ichthyosaura alpestris (Alpine newt). RNAcentral describes it as "partial tRNA-Ser". The record is from RNAcentral. Lineage: Eukaryota; Metazoa; Chordata; Amphibia; Caudata; Salamandridae.